UUUCAAAAGCUUGCUUUUGAAAGAUUAGCGGCGGACGGGUGAGUAACACGUGGGUAACCUGCCUGUAAGACUGGGAUAACUCCGGGAAACCGGUGCUAAUACCAGAUAGUUUAUCUUUUCGCAUGAAAGGAUAAGGAAAGACGGUUUCGGCUGUCACUUACGGAUGGACCCGCGGCGCAUUAGCUAGUUGGUGAGGUAAUGGCUCACCAAGGCAACGAUGCGUAGCCGACCUGAGAGGGUGAUCGGCCACACUGGGACUGAGACACGGCCCAGACUCCUACGGGAGGCAGCAGUAGGGAAUCUUCCGCAAUGGACGAAAGUCUGACGGAGCAACGCCGCGUGAGCGAUGAAGGUUUUCGGA
RNAcentral lists this ribosomal RNA (361 nucleotides) under uncultured bacterium. Its description in RNAcentral is "bacterial SSU rRNA". It matches the Rfam family "Bacterial small subunit ribosomal RNA", at positions 70 to 422 of the family's 1533-position model. The record is from RNAcentral.